GAUUACAUCCUCCACAUAAGCCUUGUUAACAAAGUUAGCAAGGCGUCUCUGGAAAAUAAUAACCAGCUCUGGGACUUGAAAUAUGGAUGAAGCAUACAGCAAUUCCACCGUAAAAUUAAUUGCAGGUCUACAGGCAUCAUGUGCACAUUCACCAUCAACACAAGUUGAUACACCCAGCGGAGAUGGCUUGAGUUUUCCAGUAUACAAAUAGCUUAAGAAAACCAGGAAGGCUUCAUAUCCAACUUUUCCAUGGGGUAACAGAUCACUCAUGAAAUACCUAGGCUUCCCUCCCUCCUCCAAAGACCCCUUUUCUCGCGUAAAUAACUCAUCGAAGAACCUGCUCCUUACAGCUAGGAUAUAGCGAUGAAUUGGAAUAGGGCGCCCCUCAACAACAAUUUCAGCAUCACUAUAAUAACAACUACGCCUACAAUCUAUCAAGAGCUGCUCCAAAUUCGAGCUAAGUUUGUUUAAACUAAUCACCUCAAGACUAGGAAUUGCCCCAAAGCCUGUGGGAAUGUCCUCAAGACUAGGAAUUGCCACAGUGCCUAAGGGAAUAGAUGGGUUUUGAUUAAUCAAGCCAUUUGAUGCAUGGGAAGAUGCAGUAGAUAUGUUUUGAUCAGAGCUUGCCUCAGAGCCUGAGGAGGUGGAAAUAUUUUGAUUACUCGAGUCAUCUGAUUCAUGAGAAGAUGAAGGAAAGAUCAAAGGUGAUGAUGGCAAAUAAGGAAAAUAAAAAUCACCCAUUAAUCUACUUUAAGAACUUUGAUGAAGGACCGCUGAGAUUAAAUCUAUGAUUCAUAACACACAGCUACCCAACUAUGAAAUCAUUAUCUAUGAGAUUUUUCAUGGAAAAAACACCUAGGCCUAUGCACAGAAGUAUCUGAGUAAAACCAGUGUAAGAAAAUGGCUGGAAGUUGCUUGCUUGAGUUUCCAAGACCACCAAAUCAACAAGCUAUAAGAAAAGCCAAGCAAAAAAACUAAUAGCAAAAAAAAUUAUAUUUGAAUCUAACAAAAGAACAUUAGCACCAAAACAAAAGUAAGAAAAUAGCAAAAUUUAAGGAAAAGAAGAAGAAUGUGAAAUGAUCCCAAAAGAACCCACACAGAAGAACACCAGCAAACCUUACAUGAUGAACAAGAUCUAUCAAAAGUUUAACCCAGAAGUAAACUAGAAGAACAAGGUGUCACCGAAAGCAGAAGAAAGGAUGGCAAGGGUGGAGCCUCUUGAAAAGUGGCCCAAAAU
Molecule: unclassified non-coding RNA, 1237 nt
Filed under: Hevea brasiliensis (rubber tree)
Lineage: Eukaryota; Viridiplantae; Streptophyta; Magnoliopsida; Malpighiales; Euphorbiaceae
Source: RNAcentral